GCCUGAUUUCGGUCGACGGUCGACCUUGGUUUAAGUGACCAAGCCUAGAUUAGGUUACAAGCCACAUACAGAGCUUUUCAGCUAGGAUCCAACUCAUGUUUUGGGCUUUGGCUUGCCUUAGGGUUUCCUCUUUGAAGAUCCUUAAGAGUCUAUAUUUCAAGUUUAAUUCUACCCAUAACGGUGACUUCCACUCUAAAGUUGGGUUCGUGGUUUGGCUUUUAGUUCUCCCAAACUAAACAUACAAAGUACAAUUUGGGAGUAUUGAUCCUUUGCUUGAUGUAGGGUUCAUAGUGUGACCAUGCUCAGUCUUGUUGGGUUCAACGUAGGCAUGUUUUUCUUGUCCACCUUGAGGUGAACCUCAAAUUUGGGAUUUGCUUGGAAUAAUUGGUUUACCUCAUUGAGCUUCAUUAGACAUUGCGGCUCAUAUCAUCCUCUUCAGUCUCAUGGUCAUGCUUAGUCUCGAUAAGUCAGUCAAUUGGUUGUCUUGUGACGACUGUUACGAACGGGUUUUACUUUUAUUCUCUUACUAACUCUCUUCACUUUUGUUUCAGUUCCUCAAAAGAUCAAAUAUUUCCUUACUAGCUUGACAUUUGCAAGAUUCGUAGAUAUGCAAGGACGUCGACUAUCUAUAUUUGAAUGCCUAACUCAAAAGAAGAAAGCCCCUAGAAAUGCUAUUGAGACAUCCAAGGUACCAUUGACGGUUAACAUCACCGACCUAACAGAGAACAAGAAUCCUCUUAUUUGAGCCCUGCAAAUUUUUGGCGAUUCGCUCAGCUACAUAAGAAGUUGAACAAUCAACUAGGAUUCACCCUUUUGUUCUCCCAGAGAACUACUCUGGAGUUGGAGACAAGGUUGAGCUACUUAACAAAAGUUUUGCACUACGGCAAGAACUCGGCCAACGUCGUUCUGAGGGGGAAAUUGGGGAUAAUGACCCUUUAGAAGCUAUCCACGAGCCCCACUACGAGUUGCAUAAUAUUUCAUUCGAGUUUUUGCAUCAACUAUGAGUAUGGCCAACCACAUCAACUUUCUCGAGCAGAACUAUGUUCCCAAGACAGAGCUAGCUCAGGCUCAAGAUAUUUUAGCUCGUGCUAAUCAACAAUUAGUUGAGGUUAGACACAAGCUGGAAUCUCGUCGGGCUGAAAUUAACACAUGCAAGGCUCAGUUGGAGGAGGCUGAAUCUCGCCUCAUUAAUCCCGAAUAUUUAGUUGAGGAGUUCGAGAAGACAAAAGCAUAUACUAAAAUGCAAGAUGAUAUAAUGGAAUGCGGGGUUAUUUGGUUGACUCGGUGACUAUCUCGACGCCAUCCUGAGAUAGAUUUUGGAUUCUUGUAUGAUGAGUUCAUUGCAAUGUGCAAUGACCCUAACGCGUUCGAUUAUGAUUCUGACGAUUCGAACGCAGGACCUUUUAGCGUUGGCAGUAAUGAAGAUCCAACCUAGAAUGACAUGGCGAUGGAUCGAGAUCAUCCAAGUAGGUGAGGCAUGGCGUGGCUUAGUUUUUUGUUUUUGUUUUCUUGGCUUAGUUUUUUGUUUUUGUUUUCUUGGCUCAUUUGCGCUG
This is a long non-coding RNA of Benincasa hispida (wax gourd), 1553 nucleotides long. RefSeq lists it as uncharacterized. The record is from RefSeq and is a predicted model, not a curated record. NCBI's taxonomy places the organism in Eukaryota, Viridiplantae, Streptophyta, Magnoliopsida, Cucurbitales, Cucurbitaceae.